ACAGAGGGUGCAAGCGUUGUUCGGAAUCAUUGGGCGUAAAGGGCGCGUAGGCGGUUUUGUAAGUCGGAUGUGAAAGCCCAGGGCUUAACCUUGGAAGUGCAUUCGAAACUGCAUAACUGGAGUCUCGGAGAGGGUGGUGGAAUUCCCAGUGUAGAGGUGAAAUUCGUAGAUAUUGGGAGGAACACCAGUGGCGAAGGCGAUCACCUGGACGAAGACUGACGCUGAGGCGCGAGAGCGUGGGGAGCAAACAGGA
This 253-nucleotide ribosomal RNA is filed under the name uncultured prokaryote. RNAcentral's name for it is "partial 16S ribosomal RNA". It matches the Rfam family "Bacterial small subunit ribosomal RNA", at positions 525 to 777 of the family's 1533-position model. The record is from RNAcentral.